AACGGAGCGGAGAUGCUCUGGUGCCUUCGGGAGCUGUGAGACAGGUGCUGCAUGGCUGUCGUCAGCUCGUGUUGUGAAAUGUUGGGUUAAGUCCCGCAACGAGCGCAACCCUUAUCCUUUGUUGCCAUCGAUUUGGUCGGGAACUCAAAGGAGACUGCCGGUGAUAAACCGGAGGAAGGUGGGGAUGACGUCAAGUCAUCAUGGCCCUUACGGCCAGGGCUACACACGUGCUACAAUGGCGCAUACAAAGAGAAGCGACCUCGCGAGAGCAAGCGGACCUCAUAAAGUGCGUCGUAGUCCGGAUCGGAGUCUGCAACUCGACUCCGUGAAGUCGGAAUCGCUAGUAAUCGUGGAUCAGAAUGCCACGGUGAAUACGUUCCCGGGCCUUGUACACACCGCCCGUCACACCAUGGGAGUGGGUUGCAAAAGAAGUAGGUAGCUUAACCUUCGGGAGGGCGCUUACCACUUUGUGAUUCAUGACUGGGGUGAAGUCGUAACAAGGUAAGCGUAGCGAG
Molecule: ribosomal RNA, 515 nt
Filed under: uncultured bacterium
Lineage: Bacteria
Description: bacterial SSU rRNA
Rfam family: Bacterial small subunit ribosomal RNA
Source: RNAcentral